This 316-nucleotide ribosomal RNA is filed under the name uncultured bacterium. RNAcentral's name for it is "bacterial SSU rRNA". It matches the Rfam family "Bacterial small subunit ribosomal RNA", at positions 28 to 334 of the family's 1533-position model. The record is from RNAcentral.
GAUGAACGCUAGCGGCAGGCUUAACACAUGCAAGUCGAGGGGCAGCGUGAUGAAGUAGCAAUACGGAUUUGACGGCGACCGGCGCACGGGUGCGUAACGCGUAUGCAACCUACCCAUAACAGGGGGAUAACACUGAGAAAUUGGUAUUAAUACCCCAUAACAGUUUUAGAGGCAUCUUUAAGAUUUGAAAGUUCCGGCGGUUAUGGAUGGGCAUGCGUUGUAUUAGCUAGAUGGUGGGGUAACGGCUCACCAUGGCGACGAUACAUAGGGGGACUGAGAGGUUAACCCCCCACACUGGUACUGAGACACGGACCAG